GCCGCGGUAAGACGUAGGAUCCGAGCGUUGUCCGGAGUUACUGGGCGUAAAGCGCGCGCAGGCGGUCCUUUAAGUCUGAUGUGAAAGCCCACGGCUCAACCGUGGAGGGUCAUUGGAAACUGGGGGACUUGAGUACAGAAGAGGAAAGCGGAAUUCCAAGUGUAGCGGUGAAAUGCGUAGAGAUUUGGAGGAACACCAGUGGCGAAGGCGGCUUUCUGGUCUGUAACUGACGCUGAGGCGCGAAAGCGUGGGGAGCAAACAG
RNAcentral lists this ribosomal RNA (262 nucleotides) under uncultured bacterium. RNAcentral describes it as "partial 16S ribosomal RNA". It matches the Rfam family "Bacterial small subunit ribosomal RNA", at positions 514 to 775 of the family's 1533-position model. The record is from RNAcentral.